UUGUAACAUAAACAUGGAACAAACCAGACAUAGAGAAGUGGUCGAAAGAGGACGAGGAAUACGUAUGCGUGGUGGAAGAAGAAUAAGAGGAAGAUCAAGAGCUGUAGUCUCAGAUGAGAUCAGGGCAACUAUAAUUGGUAACAACAGGACCCAACGGUGACCUCCCAAUGGUGGGAGAGGGAAGAUGCUCACUGAGUCUUAAGGAAACUGCAAUUGUUGAUAUGGUCAUUAGAAACAAUGCCAUCAAACUCACAGAAAUUCCAGAAAGUGUGUUGGCAGACAACAUCACAUUUGAAAAUAUUCACAGUAUCAGCAUGACAACUAUUUCAAGAGUCCUGCAAAAACAUCACGUCAGGAUGAAGCAGUUGCACACUGUGCCUUUUGAGAGGAACUCUGACCGACUCAAGCAACACAGGAACCAAUACGUCCAGAGAGUCAUGGAGAUUUAAAGCAGGCAAACCCCACACGUUUUCACUUUUGUGGAUGAGGCUGGUUUCAACUAGGAGGCGAGGAAGGAACCUAAUUGGGAAAAGAGCCACAGUGGAUGUCACAGGACAGAGGGGUGCUGACAUUACAAUGUGUGCUGCAUUAUCCACUAAUGGACUGCUGUUACACAGACCGCUUAUUGGGCCAAAAACUCUGAAUGCCUUCUUUCGUUCCUGGAUGACCUCUAUGGAAGGGUUGUGGUAGGUGAGGAAAGGAAUGCAGUGAGGAAAAAUCAGCCAACAUUUAUAAUUGUAUUGGACAAUGUGGCAUUUCACCACUCUCAUGCAGUCACAGAGUGCUUUGCAGCCCAUCCCAGGAUGGUGUCACCUCUCCUCCCACCUUAUUCUGAAUUAUUUUCCUCGUGGAGGUGGAAGGUUUAUGACCACCAUCCCCAUGAUCAAAUGUCCCUUUUGGAUGCCAUGAAUGCAGGAUGCCUGGAGAUUUCAGCAGAAGAUUACCAGGGAUGGAUCAGGCAUGCCAAAAGAUUCUUUCCUAAGCUUUUGCCCUGGAAGACAUGUGUGAUGUGGAUGAGAAUUUGUGGCCAAAUGCAGAGAGUGGAGUUGACUAGCAUUCCUACCAUAUCUGUGGAUGGUGUGAAUUUUUGUACUUGGCAAUAACUUCUUAAAAAAAAAACGUACAGCAUCAUGUCUGAUUACUGUAGUUCCUGUAACAUAUAAUGCCGUAAACAGUAGAAAGGUGUUUUUCUUUUACAGAAAAAUCUGUGUUUACCGUAAUGGUACCUGUUGUUAGUGUUUUUAAGGUCAUUGUUUUAUAGAUAAUCAAGUGUGUUUGUUGACUGUCAAGCUUUGCUAUUGUUAUGAAAGAAUGAGCUGAUUUGAGAAAUGAAUGAAGUGCUUUGAUAGUUUUAGUGAAUUUUUAAUGUGAAAUGAACAGCUGUGCCAAGAUGAAAGUUUGUUAGGAGAACUGUGUGAAGACUUUUACAAAAGUCACCAAAGUAGCCUAUGGAGAAAUGUGUCCUAGCAAUUGAAAAAAACUGUAAGAGAGUAAUUAUUUCUAAAAGGUUGUCACUUGCUUUGUAUAAACCACACCGAGCAACAGUCCCAAUUCUGACUCUAGGUCAGUCAAAAUGAAAAUAUCAUUCAGCCAAAAAACAAAUACUCUGUUGUGUGCAAUCUAUUGGUUUAAGGCUCUAUUCGGAGAUUGGUUAGAGGUUUCAGGUGUUUGUUUGUUUGUUGA
Triplophysa dalaica is the source of this 1683-nucleotide long non-coding RNA. RefSeq lists it as uncharacterized. The transcript is spliced from 3 exons. The record is from RefSeq and is a predicted model, not a curated record. Lineage: Eukaryota; Metazoa; Chordata; Actinopteri; Cypriniformes; Nemacheilidae.